CGCGGAGGUGCGGUGGGUGGCUGCCUGCCCUUCGGGAGCUUUUCCGCGGGCCCAGGGUUAGUUCGGCCCUGACGGAGCCUGAAACGGGCGGCUGAAGCAGGACUUUUGCUGUGUUCUGCAAUGUUGCUGUACUGGGCUGAUUUGGAAGAGGGAGCCAAGUGCCACCCAGCAGCAACUGUGUUACAAGAGGUGCAAGACUGCGCUACACGAGGUGUGAGCACCCUGCGUCCGAUGCUCAUCGCAAGGCUGAAACCCCUCCCGUCUUCCUCAGAUGUCUUAACAUUUGAGCGGAACAUAAAACCACUGUGGCAUCUUUAGAGACUUACUAUGUAAAGCUAAGAUCAAGAAAAACACAAAAUCUAACUUCAACUUUCAAACCCUGGCUUUUUUUGCUCAUGUAUAUGACACCAGAGCACUCAUACAGACCCACAUCAGAUUUAAAAUGCGUUCAUCUUUCAUCGGCCUUUCACCAGACUGGGAUUUUCUUUUCUUCUCUUCUUGCCUGCAAAAUCAAAAAGAAGCAGUGAGAAGGUAAAAUAAUAUCAACCCACAGAAUAAAUCCAUCUGAGCAUAUAUUACCUUGAACAUAAUGAAUUUUCUCUUGCUUCUGGGAACCAGCUAGACUCAAAACAGGUUUAAAUCACAUAGCUUGAUGAAUGCGGUAUUCACAACUUGCUUCUUGUUUACAGAACAGCAUUACUAAACAGUAUAGAGCAAUUUCUUCCCACAGGAUGCCAUGAUGACAAUAUCUGAAGUAUUUCAAGCCUGACAUGACAUUCUUUAGCAAAAGCAUGUGCAAAACCUGUGAUAAUACUGCAGCUUUUUGCUUGUGAGGACUAUGGAGUUUUCCUUAUCUGAUCAUUAGUAUUCAUCUCGAUUGCUGUAUUCCUUGGCAAAUGAAAGAUACUCUUUCCUGUGUAAUCUCAAUGCCCAGAUUCAGAAUCUAUGAGAUAGUGAUGUAUUAAUUAAGGUUAGCGGGUCUAGGUGAGCGUAAAUUGAUAGCACCAUGUGCAGCAUAAAAUUUAGGCAUAAAAGAGAGGUUAUCGGAUAGUCUUCCUUUUUUUUUCCUUCUAUUGUACCUAUUUUUCUGUCCUCUGGAGUUUACAUUUUAUCUGGUUUGGCUUACUUUCACCCAGCUGGUGCAAUUUACUCAAAACUUCUUCAUGUAGGUUACACCACCUUGCAUAGUGAUUCACUUAACAUCCAACUUUCUCUCGUCUUCAGCAUUGCCCUUGAAUUGGGCUCAGUAUGAUGAAGCUGUAGUAUUAAUAUUAUGUCAUGAGCAGCUGUGAUUCUCUAGCCAAAUUCAGAGCUAAAGUAAGUGUCAGAUCUACCAGAGAAUAUACAUAAUUUUAUACUAUAUAGCCAGGUUAGAUCUGAUGCCUUCUCUCAGCUGGCAAGGAUAGUUUUGUAAAAGGUUAUUUUGUAUUGUGGUGGUACAACAUUACAAUUGCUUUUAUUGGAAACCAGAUUAACACCCCAGAUGACCCAGAGCAGAGCGCACUGGGACAUCAUUCGCAACAGACAGGUUGCCCCCUAGAAAGGUUUUACAACAGAACUCUUCCCUUAUCUCUUGGGUCUUAUAGCACAGUGUUUUCAGUAUAAGACACACUCUUCUCAAGGAGCUGGAGGAAGGGGAAGAAGGAAGAAGUUCCUUCUGAUGCUAAAACCACCAAUUUGCCUUAAAAAGUGCCUGUAUCAAGAUUCCAGGGAUCUGAACACUUCUUUCAUCUUGGGAGAGAUGGCUUUUGUCUGCUGUGUUAGAUUCAUCUUUUCUGAUAGAAAACUCCAGUAAUAGCAGGUAUUCUUCAGCACAGCCAUUCUGGACUACAGUUCCCAAAGUCCUCAGGAGUAGAUGAAGAGAUUUGGCCUGUGUUAUAUUCUGAAAUGUGACUGUGAACUCUGAGUAAGGGGCACAGUUUAGCUUGGCUUCUCAUUUCCAAUUGCUUUCCUGAGACGCUUCCUGAACCUCUCUGCUGUUUGUGUCACGCUGUCUGAUUAGGGUAACACUUCCUUAUCCUCUUUAAUAUUGUGACAUACUCUGCUACACUGAGAUUAAUUUUUAACACUAUUCUGUAAAUCUAAAAAUUACGUACUAUCAUUUAAUCUAAUUGAGAACACAGAUUAUGUCUAUUUGCAUUGUAACAAGGCAUUGCAUUCCAAGGCAUAUAGGAGAAUAUAACAAUAAGGUUUUAUGUAAACACUUGAUGAUUAAAUAUUGUCAGUGGAAAUAAGCAACAAAACCUUUCAUUACAUGCAAAUCCAGAUUCUUGUAAAUACAAUUACAGGAAAUACAGCAAGAGGUUUAACAUCAUGAAACAGCAGCAGCUGCUUCUGAAUUAACAUUGUAAAUAGUUGCUUAUCCUCAGACUGAUAUUCAGUCCUCUUCCACAUGAAGUCAUGUGCCGGUCAUCUACGCUAUUCCAAAAAGCCUUCGAUCCCAUGGAUUUUCCAAUGCCACACCACAUCAUUACAGAAACUCAAAGAGAGGAAGGAAUGAAAAAAGAAAUUUUAAACUUCUGAUUUUCUGUGAUGGUCAGUUGAGAACUUCCAGGACUCAAGAUAGAAAAAACUAAUAGGAUCUUUGUCACCCCAUAUCACGUAUUUCCUAAGGAAGUAAGGUAAUAGCCAGUCAGAAUGGGGUAGUACAUAGUUAGGAAAAUCCUCUCCAGAUUCAGUAGAAAAUUAUUUGAUAAUUUAUGAAAAAAUAAAUAUGCAGAACCCAUUUUAAUUUUACUUUUAAGUUUAUUUACCAGCUACUGGUAUUGAAUGAGCACAUCGAAUGAAAACCAAUCUUUAAGAAUCAUACUAGUUCCUAAAAUGUAAUGUCAAACCUUUGGUCCAAAAGAAAAUUUGUUAAUUUUCUUUUCUUUUGGUCUCAGAUAAGUCUUCCAUCCCUUUGUGAGUUUGCCAUAAUUAAAAGAAACAUUUCCCUACCAAAGACUUUGGAAAAAAUUGUAGUAUUUUUGAAGUCUGUAUGUAUUUGAAAUGGUUUAAUGAACUCUAGUUUUUGCUUAGUGACCGUGUCAGAAAGGAUCUUUUAGUGUUGAGGAAUAGAUGAGAUUCUUGAAUGUGCUCAGUGUGGGGUGUACGUAUAAACUACUCAAAGGAGAAAAAGUAAGAGAUUAAUGAAAGAUUGAACAGAAUACGGAUAUAAAAGCAAACAGUGAAAAUUUCUUCAUCUACCACUGAUUUUGUUCUUGAUUCACUUGUGGUGUAAGCUAUGUGUACAGUCAACAGCAGAAAGAUAUUGGCUCACUAUGAUCAAGUACAGAAUAAUUCCAUCAACGAUGGGUGAAAUGUGUCUUUCUACUUAAAAUAAUAUUCCAGGCAUAGUAAACUGCAGUUGACAUCCCAUAUUUGUUGUCUCAAUGAUUUCCUUGAUGAAGAUAAUGAAUUUGAAAAAUAUGUAUUUUUUUACUUCACAUUUCACAAACUUGUCAUGGAGUUUGGCAGUCCAGUGCCUUCUUAUUUACAUAUCCCUUGUAAUUAUUUAACUACCUGCCCUGCAAUUUUAGCAUCUGGCCAAAUGGACUCUAGGUCCAGUAGGUCAUCUGGCCUGGAACUGAAGGAGCAGCAAUUCAGCGUUAAAGGUUUUCCUGUAGGAAGUGAAAACACCUGGAACAGUUGGAUUAGGUGUUCUCAGCUGUGUUUAAAAAAUGGAGAAUCUGAAGAUUUGCACAGAGAGUUCCUCCCAUAAACCACAUUUUGCUCUUCCUUUACAUUUUCAAACUCCACCUGUGCAUCAAAAGUAUAAGGAGAUAGAUGUAUGAGAGCUCUCAGCUGACUCAAUACUUGUAGGAGAUGGAGUAAAAAUAGUUACUUGACCAUUCUAGGCACCAAAAUAUUAACUUAAGCAGCUAGGACUGUAUUUAUAAGCUCACCUUACAAAAUGGAGUCUUGUGCAAUAAACACAAAUAUAUUUUUAAAAGCAGAAGUAGGAUUGCCUUAUAGUGCAAUGAACAUUUUUUUAAUUAUUUCUUCAUACUCUGUGUCUCAGUGACUAGGGCUGUCUGUACUUCACAGUACUGUGCCUUUUUUCUGUCCUGCACUAUAUGUUCUUAGUUAUUGCAGUGAGGAAAAUGAAUGUAUCUAACUGUUAACAGUUCACUGUUAAGGGAGUCAUUAUUUUGACAUUUAAGAACACUACACUAUUAGAUUGAUUACUAUUUAUAUUAAUGUGAGGGAUUUAAGCACUCAAAAUCUGACUCCCUUCCAAAACAAUUAACUUUUUGAUCACCUAAUUUUAGGUGUGGAAGUGAUUGUUAUUCAUAACAGUGUUUUCCUCAUUUGAAAUAAAAAUGAUGAAGCUGUAUAAUCAAAGUUCAUUCACAGAAUCACAGAAUGGUUGAGGUUGGAAGGGACUCAGUCACCUUCACAGUAAAAAAGUAUUUCCUGAUGUUCAGAGGGACCCUCCCUCUGUUUCCUCUUGUACCCCUUGUCCUCUCAUGGGUCAUCACUGAGAAAAGCCUGUCUUCUCUACAGCCUCUCUUCCCAUAUUUAAAUUUCCUCCUUCCAUUUCAAUGCUAGUGAAGAACUCAUUACCAGCAGUAGGGACUGAGAAACCAAAUCUUACUCCUUUAUUGCAAACACAUACUUCAGUAUUUAUGAAAUUUGUGAAAUUAACGAAAUCAGAAAUAUUACGAAGUACCAAACCAAAGUGCCUUAUAUUAUUCAGCUUUUUUCAUUAUUCUAGGCUAUGUUUUCAAAGAUCUGAUGCAACAGCCAUGUAUAAAGAUAGCAUGGCACAUGUUCCCCUGUUACAUCUUUCCACCUCCGCGUGCUGUCUGCCCCUUUCCUCAGUUGUGUGCUGCACCACAGGCUUGUGCUGCCAGGGUGCCUUACAGUUUUUUGAGGAUGGGGCUCCAUUCUCCCCUCCUCAACCAGAAAAGGACUUUGACCCCAAAGUCAGGCCUGAACACUCCAAGGAGCUUGUUCUACUUGGAAAGGACCGUCACAGUCAUCCAUCCAGAACCCUCUCUUCUGCUUGUUCUCCUCUGCCUCCUCAUAACCAACCUUCCCCCUUGUCCUCCUGCUAUGGCUGCCCUCACACUACUUCCCACCGCUCCUCACUUCAGGCCAAGAGAGAGGUGUUACACUCACUUGCAGUGCCCCUCAUCUAGGAGUGUUGGAGCACCGGCAAGUGGCAGGGUGAGAAAGCAGUGCUUUGCCACCUUGGCAAACACACCAUCGUCUGUAAUCCAGUACUGCGACCCCAGCAUGCUACACCAUUGCCACAGUGGGAGAUGGGGAUGUGGUGAACUUUUGUGUUGGUGGGAGUCUGUGCAUCUUGCUCCUCAUAACAAUUUUCUGAUUCUUCUUCCUCACAUACAGGGAAGUCAAGGAGGAUUAGUGUCAGUUCAGAGUGUUGCCCUGGAACAGCAGCUGCUACCUUCAUCUGGAUGGUGCCCUGACUUGGAGAGGGGAGGAGGCUGUGGCAGCUGGUGCCCUCAUAUCACUUGAAAAUGAGCAGGAAAACAAACAAGACACAUGAGCAAGAACAGAAAUAAGGUUGGCUUCUGCAUACCUUACAUUUAUGCCAGUGGCUCGUGGGGCAUGGAUGUGCUACUGUGUGAGACAAACAAAAGGCUGGUGUGGUGUUCACUAGACAGGCUUGCAGAGGAGCCACGAAUUGAGAAUGUGAAGUUUUGUGAGGUAACUUUCCUCUGGACAGCUUUAAACCACACGAAUGAUGAGAGCAUGCAGUCCCAAGGCCACACUAAAUCUAAGCCAAAGUAAAACCGCCUACACCACAGAUAAUGUGGAUGGAGGGAGCCUCAGCACCAACUGGGCUGAUCUGUUGCUUGGUUCUUAGUGUGUUAAAUUACUUGCAGUAAUAGAUGUGGCCUCACUGGAAUAAAAGGGAAUUGUACCUGCAGUAUACAAGCACGUACUUUAGUAUAUUAUUAGCAUGUAUUCAAACACUCAUAAAUCUUUUGGUGCUCAUGUUCAAAAGCUGAGAACUCACGUUUGUCCACUUCAUAUGCCAGUGCUGAUUUUCAAACUGUGUGAAAUUCUAGCAAUUAAAGGGACGUGCUGCCUAUGUACUGAAUUGAUUCUUAAGCGUUCUGCAAGCACUCACAAAGCCACUGCUGUGAUGGAUGUCAUGGCUUGCAGUCUAUUAAAGGCUGAUUUCUCUG
Molecule: long non-coding RNA, 6140 nt
Organism: Grus americana (Whooping crane)
Lineage: Eukaryota; Metazoa; Chordata; Aves; Gruiformes; Gruidae
Exons: 4
Source: RefSeq, a predicted model, not a curated record